RNAcentral lists this ribosomal RNA (293 nucleotides) under uncultured bacterium. RNAcentral describes it as "partial 16S ribosomal RNA". It matches the Rfam family "Bacterial small subunit ribosomal RNA", at positions 775 to 1067 of the family's 1533-position model. The record is from RNAcentral.
GGAUUAGAUACCCUGGUAGUCCACGCCGUAAACGAUGUCUACUUGGAGGUUGUGGCCUUGAGCCGUGGCUUUCGGAGCUAACGCGUUAAGUAGACCGCCUGGGGAGUACGGUCGCAAGAUUAAAACUCAAAUGAAUUGACGGGGGCCCGCACAAGCGGUGGAGCAUGUGGUUUAAUUCGAUGCAACGCGAAGAACCUUACCUACUCUUGACAUCCAGGAAAUUUUUCAGAGAUGAAUUAGUGCCUUCGGGAAUCCUGAGACAGGUGCUGCAUGGCUGUCGUCAGCUCGUGCCG